Long non-coding RNA from Ziziphus jujuba (common jujube), 1724 nucleotides. RefSeq lists it as uncharacterized. The transcript has 4 exons. Lineage: Eukaryota; Viridiplantae; Streptophyta; Magnoliopsida; Rosales; Rhamnaceae. The record is from RefSeq and is a predicted model, not a curated record.
UUAGUCUAUUUAAAGCUACUAUUAUUUUUCUGUCCCCAUACCGCUAUGCAUUUGUAUCAAAUACUCUGCAAUUUAUUUCUUUGUGUAGUUGCUUUGAAUAUAUGUGAUUGAUGUCUAACCUAUUAUCUGUAAAGGGUUAUUGGUAUCCUCAAUUAGUAUUUUUCAAUUUCAGAGUUUUAUGGUUUGAGCGUUUCAUACUGUAUCCAUGUGCUAAUGGUUGCUAGAGGUGGUUCACAUUUUUUCUUGUUGCUGGAGUGGAUUCUCUAGUCUCUUGCAAGAUUAAAUGCCGUUUGUAUUUAAUCAAAUUUUAGAUAUUAUGUGGACUCAUGAUACUUUUGUGAUUCUGACAGUAAACAAAAACAUGCUGUUAUUUCCAGAAGAUGGAUUACCUUCAAUUUAAAAUUGCAUAACAUUUCCAGGGAAAGGAGUUCUUACAUUUGUGUGCAAUGGGAAUCUGCAAGUACUCAACUCUCCAGCAUUCUUAAAUAUCAUAUGCAUAAAUGGAAUUUAAGAUUGUGAGUAUUUAUUCCUGCUAUCAUUUGCAGUGCUUCCACAAAAGGUCUUUCUACUUUUCUUAUUCGACUAUCUGGCUAAAAAUGUCCAUUACUAUGGCUUUGGUCGAGUUUUAUAUGAUCAGCAUCAUGCAGAAGUGUCACUGCUUGUCAUGCAAUACACUCUUUUACUAAAAAAGAUUCUAAUUUUACAUUUUCCAGUCCAAAAUAUUUACAAAUUGGUGUUUUUUACUUUCCAAAGUGUCAUAUCUGUUAUUAUAUAUGUUCUCUUUGUCAUCGUCUUGUCAUACAAUGUAUUGGUUUUGUAAGAAAGAUUGUGUUAUUAGCAUACUCUAAUUUUCAUUGUAGGUAGCUCACAUUUAUUGAUCAAAGAGUUAAGUUUCUCUUCUCUUUGCUUAAAUGAACGCAGUUGUACUAGCUUAUUAUUUCAUUUAAACCAUUUAAGAAAUGAAUUAUUUGACAUGAUAUUCAGCAUCCAUAUUAACACGGUCCAUUUCUUCUUGUAUGGUUAGCAUGUUUGAGCACUUCUAGACCAGCUCCUUGUUCAACACAUGAGUACUGGAAGAUGGGCUGUCCGCUUCUCUCACAGCUAUUCAAUCAUCUCUGGUCUAGCUAUCAAAGUCAGCAGUGUUUUAAGUUUCCUUCUUUAAUUAUAUCUGGAACAGGAUGUUUAAAUUGCACUGGAGCAUGAUUGGUCUUUCCAUCCAUAAUGAGGAAGAUUUGAGCAUGAGCAAUGCACAUUGUGUCUCAUAUCAACCAUAAAGGCAAGGAAAAUGGAUGAGUUGAGGCAGAAGGUAAAGGAUUUGAGGGCGUCUUUUCCAUGCAAUGCAUUGCAAAAGCAAGAGCUCAACAAGAAUGAAAGCUAUUCGUCUCCUUGCCUCCCAAGUGCAGACACAAUGCUAAAUGUGUGGAAAUUGUGCACCAUGAUCCGAUUAUGAUCUGGUCUGGACAUUUUUGCUUCUGAUUUUUAGGUACUCAAUAUUUGUCUGUUGAAAAGGAAAUGAUAAUUUGGGAAUCACAAGACCGUAAUCGUUAUCGUUAAAGGGGGUGGGGGGUGGUCAAAAUAAGUUUUCCCUAUGUAGACUAUAGAUUUGCAAUUGCAAUAUUGGAGAUUACAAAUUUAAAAGUCAACAUAAUCAGUUGUGUUUGUGAUGGAUUAACUUUAUUAUUUUCUUAAUUUAUCAAAUUAAAUCGGAUUAAUGAUUUAUUUUA